This 514-nucleotide ribosomal RNA is filed under the name uncultured bacterium. Its description in RNAcentral is "partial 16S ribosomal RNA". It matches the Rfam family "Bacterial small subunit ribosomal RNA", at positions 28 to 523 of the family's 1533-position model. The record is from RNAcentral.
GAUGAACGCUGGCGGCGUGCCUAAUACAUGCAAGUCGAGCGAACAGAUGAGAAGCUUGCUUCUCUGAUGUUAGCGGCGGACGGGUGAGUAACACGUGGGUAACCUACCUAUAAGACUGGGAUAACUCCGGGAAACCGGGGCUAAUACCUGAUAAUAUUUUGAACCGCAUGGUUCAAUAGUGAAAGGCAGCUUCGGCUGUCACUUAUAGAUGGACCCGCGCCGUAUUAGCUAGUUGGUAAGGUAACGGCUUACCAAGGCGACGAUACGUAGCCGACCUGAGAGGGUGAUCGGCCACACUGGAACUGAGACACGGUCCAGACUCCUACGGGAGGCAGCAGUAGGGAAUCUUCCGCAAUGGGCGAAAGCCUGACGGAGCAACGCCGCGUGAGUGAUGAAGGUUUUCGGAUCGUAAAACUCUGUUGUUAGGGAAGAACAAAUUUGUUAGUAACUGAACAAGUCUUGACGGUACCUAACCAGAAAGCCACGGCUAACUACGUGCCAGCCGCCGCCGUAA